RNAcentral lists this ribosomal RNA (460 nucleotides) under uncultured bacterium. Its description in RNAcentral is "partial 16S ribosomal RNA". It matches the Rfam family "Bacterial small subunit ribosomal RNA", at positions 338 to 795 of the family's 1533-position model. The record is from RNAcentral.
CCUACGGGAGGCAGCAGUGAGGAAUAUUGGUCAAUGGACGCAAGUCUGAACCAGCCAUGCCGCGUGCAGGAAGACGGCUCUAUGAGUUGUAAACUGCUUUUGUACGAGGGUAAACGCAGAUAUGUGUAUUGGUCUGAAAGUAUCGUAUGAAUAAGGAUCGGCUAACUCCGUGCCAGCAGCCGCGGUAAUACGGAGGAUCCAAGCGUUAUCCGGAUUUAUUGGGUUUAAAGGGAGCGUAGGCGGUCGGAUAAGUUAGAGGUGAAAGCUUGAGGCUCAACUGCGGAAUUGCAUCUGAUACUGGUCGUCUAGAGAGUAGUAGCGGUAGGCGGAAUGUAUGGUGUAGCGGUGAAAUGCUUAGAGAUCAUACAGAACACCGAUUGCGAAGGCAGCUUACCGAGCUACUUCUGACGUUGAGGCACGAAAGCGUGGGGAGCAAACAGGAUUAGAUACCCUUGUAGUC